RNAcentral lists this ribosomal RNA (329 nucleotides) under uncultured eukaryote. RNAcentral's name for it is "partial 18S ribosomal RNA". It matches the Rfam family "Eukaryotic small subunit ribosomal RNA", at positions 1470 to 1796 of the family's 1831-position model. The record is from RNAcentral.
CCCUUAGAUGUUCUGGGCCGCACGCGCGCUACACUGACGAUGGCAACGAGUUUUUCCUUCGCCGAAAGGUGUGGGUAAUCUUUUGAAACAUCGUCGUGCUGGGGAUAGAUCAUUGCAAUUUUUGAUCUUGAACGAGGAAUUCCUAGUAAGCGCGAGUCAUCAGCUCGCGUUGAUUACGUCCCUGCCCUUUGUACACACCGCCCGUCGCUACUACCGAUUGAAUGGUUUAGUGAGGACUCCUGAUUGGCGCCGCCGCCCCGGCAACGGAGCAGCGGACUGCCGAAAAGUUGUUCAAACUUGAUCAUUUAGAGUAAGUAAAAGUCGUAACA